GAUGAACGCUGGCGGCGUGCCUAAUACAUGCAAGUCGAGCGAACGGACGAGAAGCUUGCUUCUCUGAUGUUAGCGGCGGACGGGUGAGUAACACGUGGAUAACCUACCUAUAAGACUGGGAUAACUUCGGGAAACCGUAGCUAAUACCGGAUAAUAUUUUGAACCGCAUGGUUCAAAAGUGAAAGACGGUCUUGCUGUCACUUAUAGAUGGAUCCGCGCUGCAUUAGCUAGUUGGUAAGGUAACGGCUUACCAAGGCAACGAUGCAUAGCCGACCUGAGAGGGUGAUCGGCGACACUGGAACUGGGACACGGUCCAGACGCCUACGGGAGGCAGCAGUAGGGAAUCUUCCGCAAAGGGCGAAAGCCUGACGGAGCAACGCCGCGUGAGUGAUGAAGGUCUUCGGAUCGUAAAACUCUGUUAUUAGGGAAGAACAUAUGUGUAAGUAACUGUGCACAUCUUGACGGUACUUAAUCAGAAAGCCACGGCUAACUACGUG
RNAcentral lists this ribosomal RNA (497 nucleotides) under uncultured bacterium. Its description in RNAcentral is "partial 16S ribosomal RNA". It matches the Rfam family "Bacterial small subunit ribosomal RNA", at positions 28 to 507 of the family's 1533-position model. The record is from RNAcentral.